ACUCCAAACCCUUGAGAACAUACCUAGUUGCCUCGGCGGACUUGCCCUGGGACGACCUACCCUGCAGCGAGUUACCCUGUAACGAGUUGCCCUGUAGAGACCUGCCCUGUAGCCUGCCCGCCGGCGGCCAACCUAAACUCUGUUUUAUUGUGGCACUUCUGAGGAUUAUUCUAAAUGAAUUAAAACUUUCAACAACGGAUCUCUUGGUUCUGGCAUCGAUGAAGAACGCAGCGAAAUGCGAUAAGUAAUGUGAAUUGCAGAAUUCAGUGAAUCAUCGAAUCUUUGAACGCACAUUGCGCCCAUUAGUAUUCUAGUGGGCAUGCCUGUUCGAGCGUCAUUUCAACCAUCAAGCCCUAUUUGCUUGGCGUUGGGAGACUUGUAGGCCCGGCCUGCAAGCUCCUGAAAUAGAUCGGCGGAGUCGUGGCGACCCUCAGCGUAGUAAUUCUUCUCGCUUUAGGUGUCGGCGCUGGCGUUUAGCCGUUAAACCCCCUAUUUUUUAGUCUUGACCUCGGAUCAGGUAGGA
Molecule: ribosomal RNA, 523 nt
Filed under: Diatrypaceae sp. E14001h
Lineage: Eukaryota; Fungi; Ascomycota; Sordariomycetes; Xylariales; Diatrypaceae
Description: eukaryotic LSU rRNA
Rfam family: 5.8S ribosomal RNA (bases 184-337)
Source: RNAcentral